GUAAUAGCUCACUGGUCGAGUCGGCCCGCGCGGAAGAUGUAACGGGGCUAAACCAUGCACCGAAGCUGCGGCAGCGACACAAAGUGUUGUUGGGUAGGGGAGCGUUCUGUAAGCCUGCGAAGGUGUACUGUGAGGUAUGCUGGAGGUAUCAGAAGUGCGAAUGCUGACAUAAGUAACGAUAAUGCGGGUGAAAAACCCGCACGCCGGAAGACCAAGGGUUCCUGUCCAACGUUAAUCGGGGCAGGGUGAGUCGACCCCUAAGGCGAGGCUGAAAAGCGUAGUCGAUGGGAAACGGGUUAAUAUUCCCGUACUGGUGGUAACUGCGAUGGGGGAACGGAGAAGGCUAGGUUGUCCGGGCGACGGUCGUCCCGGUUCAAGCAGGUAGGCAGAGUGAUUAGGCAAAUCCGGUCACUUAAUGCUGAGAUGUGAUGACGAACCACCAAGGUGGUGAAGCAAUUGAUGCCCCGCUUCCAGGAAAAGCCUCUAAGCUUCAGGUUACCAACAAUCGUACCCCAAACCGACACAGGUGGUCAGGUAGAGAAUACUCAGGCGCUUGAGAGAACUCGGGUGAAGGAACUAGGCAAAAUGGUGCCGUAACUUCGGGAGAAGGCACGCUGGCGGUAGGUAAAGUCCCUCGCGGACGGCGCUGAAGCCAGUCGAAGAUACCAGCUGGCUGCAACUGUUUAUUAAAAACACAGCACUGUGCAAACACGAAAGUGGACGUAUACGGUGUGACGCCUGCCCGGUGCUGGAAGGUUAAUUGAUGGGGUUAGCG
Molecule: ribosomal RNA, 775 nt
Filed under: Proteus mirabilis
Lineage: Bacteria; Pseudomonadati; Pseudomonadota; Gammaproteobacteria; Enterobacterales; Morganellaceae
Description: partial 23S ribosomal RNA
Rfam family: Bacterial large subunit ribosomal RNA
Source: RNAcentral